CAGGCCUAACACAUGCAAGUCCGGCGUCGAGCGGCGGACGGGUGAGUAAUGCCUAGGAAAUUGCCCUGAUGUGGGGGAUAACCAUUGGAAACGAUGGCUAAUACCGCAUGAUGCCUACGGGCCAAAGAGGGGGACCUUCGGGCCUCUCGCGUCAGGAUAUGCCUAGGUGGGAUUAGCUAGUUGGUGAGGUAAGGGCUCACCAAGGCGACGAUCCCUAGCUGGUCUGAGAGGAUGAUCAGCCACACUGGAACUGAGACACGGUCCAGACUCCUACGGGAGGCAGCAGUGGGGAAUAUUGCACAAUGGGCGCAAGCCUGAUGCAGCCAUGCCGCGUGUGUGAAGAAGGCCUUCGGGUUGUAAAGCACUUUCAGUCGUGAGGAAGGUAGUAGUGUUAAUAGCACUAUUAUUUGACGUUAGCGACAGAAGAAGCACCGGCUAACUCCGUGCCAGCAGCCGCGGUAAUACGGAGGGUGCGAGCGUUAAUCGGAAUUACUGGGCGUAAAGCGCAUGCAGGUGGUUUGUUAAGUCAGAUGUGAAAGCCCGGGGCUCAACCUCGGAAUUGCAUUUGAAACUGGCAGACUAGAGUACUGUAGAGGGGGGUAGAAUUUCAGGUGUAGCGGUGAAAUGCGUAGAGAUCUGAAGGAAUACCGGUGGCGAAGGCGGCCCCCUGGACAGAUACUGACACUCAGAUGCAUGAG
RNAcentral lists this ribosomal RNA (698 nucleotides) under Vibrio parahaemolyticus. Its description in RNAcentral is "bacterial SSU rRNA". It matches the Rfam family "Bacterial small subunit ribosomal RNA", at positions 43 to 759 of the family's 1533-position model. Lineage: Bacteria; Pseudomonadati; Pseudomonadota; Gammaproteobacteria; Vibrionales; Vibrionaceae. The record is from RNAcentral.